CGGCGCCACAGCGGGCACGGUGGCCACGAGGCCGUAGGCGGCCAUCGGCAACUGGCUCCAAUCGCCGGCCUCGGCCGUCGACGGAUCGAGACGCCCCAUGGUGACGACGGCGUCGUUGAGUCCCAGCGUGUAAUCAUACAGGGCGGUCGAAAUCGACGCCGCCUCCUGGUAGGAGGUCGUGGUCUCGUCGGUCUCGGACACAUAGGCCGCGUUGAUGGCGGCAAACAGGGCGGUUCCGCGAGCGUGGCCGGCCAGCGCGAUCACGGUGGGCGGGUUGGAAAAGUCGAUGGCGACCGCCGCGCGGGCGGCGAGGAGCGCCAUGGCCAAGAGCACGGCACCGUAUAGAGCCGUGGACGUCUUCAUGAUCACAACGCGGCGGGCUGCGCUUUUCAAGGAUGACAGAGAUGUGGACUUGUCGUCGUCGUCGUCGGCGUUGUCGGCAACGGCGAUGGUGUUGAUAUGCGGAAAAGAUGGAGGGAGAGGGGUCGAACGCGGUGCGACGAGCGACGGCUGUGCGAGUGUGGUGAUACCGCCGGCGGUCAAAAGUCGGUGAUGAUGCGCAAGGGCAAAGAUAGUCGCUCGAUGGCCUCGCGCCGCCUUUUAGCGCCUUUGGCCCAAAGGGCGAGGGUGUUGACCGGCCAAUCACACCACCCUUUAGGCCCGGUGCCCUCGGUUUUCGCAUUGCCGCCGUAUCGCAACAUAGGUCGACCGUGAGGUGUUGCGACACGCUGCGGUCAUAAGAUCGUGUCAAAUACACGGUAUCACGUCAACAACCCCAAAAAUGAAAGAGUCACCCGCGAUACACAUGUAUCCGUGUCACAGAGGCGUGUGCCCGGUGCCGUCGACCGAGACGGCGGCAUAUCAGGGACACGGUGCACUUGGACACGGCGAUCACGGGACACGCCAAUGGCGGUGACUCACGGACGCGAUCAACGGGCGG
This 940-nucleotide long non-coding RNA is filed under the name Pandoravirus dulcis. Its description in RNAcentral is "putative ncRNA". The record is from RNAcentral.